CAAAUACAAUAUUGAGAUUUUCCUCACAUAACGAGUCAAAAAGUAGGGCGUUAAGGUUAAAAGAAGGGACGAGGUAAUAUUUGUCUCCAAAGGAUAUUAAACAACAUAUUAACUGUGAAAUUAGAAAGGCACGCGUGAAUAUAAUCAGUUAGUCACUGAGAUGGGGUACCAAACCAUUGCAUGGAUUGUGGUUGUCACCGCCGCCACCGUAUAUUUCCUCAACAUACCACCACCGCCACUUUCAUCGACGCUGCUCAACUGGCAAAAGAAAGGCAAUAUCUUCAAAUAUAAGGAAUUUGAUAUAUUUUAUAUAGUUGAGGAAGGAGUACCAAGCGAUGGAAGCACCCUUGUGUUGAUCCAUUGAUUUCCCACCUCCAGCCAUGAUUGGAGCAAGAUUCUUGGUCGCAUGAAAUCGCAGUUCAGCAAAAUCAUUAUGCUGGAUAUGUUAGGAUAUGGAUUCUCAGACAAACCGCUCGACCACGACUACCUGAUUACGGAACAGGCGGACAUUCACGAGGCUCUGCUGACGUCACUUUCUAUAUCACGCGCACACGUGAUGUCUCAUGACUAUGGUGACACCGUGGCCUUGGAAUUGCU
Mya arenaria is the source of this 597-nucleotide long non-coding RNA. RefSeq lists it as uncharacterized. NCBI's taxonomy places the organism in Eukaryota, Metazoa, Mollusca, Bivalvia, Myida, Myidae. The record is from RefSeq and is a predicted model, not a curated record. The transcript is spliced from 5 exons.